RNAcentral lists this long non-coding RNA (348 nucleotides) under Canis lupus familiaris (dog). RNAcentral's name for it is "lncRNA (ENSCAFG00000033250.3, ENSCAFG00805000504.1)". Lineage: Eukaryota; Metazoa; Chordata; Mammalia; Carnivora; Canidae. The record is from RNAcentral.
AUGGCAAAUGUAUGUCUUGGCUCUUAUUUCUCCUUGGAAAAAUGGAUGAAAGCAAUUCCGUCUCCUCCUUCUGUCCCCGAUCUUGUUCCCUGCUGGCACUACUCAAAGACUAGUGGCACACUAAGGGUUAGGGAUGCAGUGGGAGCAGUCCAUCUCUCUCUUUCCACAUGGAAACUGCCAGGGUUUCCAAUCAGUAUAAGGAGGCCACGGACUGAUUUGGGAGACACAUGGAGCACGGGAUUUGAAAGCUGCCAACUAUCAGAAAAGUGGACCAGGAGGAUUCGAUCCUGGAAUGGAGACAGGUGUGAGGAAAAAGAGGAGGCAAGAAGCCAAGAAGGAAAACGCUAG